GACGAACGCUGGCGGCGUGCUUAACACAUGCAAGUCGAACGGAAAGGCCCUGCUUUUGUGGGGUGCUCGAGUGGCGAACGGGUGAGUAACACGUGAGUAACCUGCCCUUGACUUUGGGAUAACUUCAGGAAACUGGGGCUAAUACCGGAUAGGAGCUCCUGCUGCAUGGGGGGGGUUGGAAAGUUUCGGCGGUUGGGGAUGGACUCGCGGCUUAUCAGCUUGUUGGUGGGGUAGUGGCUUACCAAGGCUUUGACGGGUAGCCGGCCUGAGAGGGUGACCGGCCACAUUGGGACUGCGAUACGGCCCAGACUCCUACGGGAGGCAGCAGUGGGGAAUAUUGCACAAUGGGCCGAAGCCUGAUGCAGCAACGCCGCGUGCGGGAUGACGGCCUUCGGGUUGUAAACCGCUUUCGCCUGUGACGAAGCGUGAGUGACGGUAAUGGGUAAAGAAGCACCGGCUAACUACGUG
This 468-nucleotide ribosomal RNA is filed under the name uncultured bacterium. Its description in RNAcentral is "partial 16S ribosomal RNA". It matches the Rfam family "Bacterial small subunit ribosomal RNA", at positions 28 to 507 of the family's 1533-position model. The record is from RNAcentral.